UGGGGAAUAUUGCACAAUGGGCGCAAGCCUGAUGCAGCAACGCCGCGUGAGGGACGACGGCCUUCGGGUUGUAAACCUCUUUUGGCAGGGAAGAAGCGAAAGUGACGGUACCUGCAGAAAAAGCACCGGCUAACUACGUGCCAGCAGCCGCGGUGAUACGUAGGGUGCAAGCGUUGUCCGGAAUUAUUGGGCGUAAAGAGCUCGUAGGCGGUUUGUCGCGUCUGCUGUGAAAACCCGAGGCUCAACCUCGGGCCUGCAGUGGGUACGGGCAAACUAGAGUGCGGUAGGGGAGAUUGGAAUUCCUGGUGUAGCGGUGGAAUGCGCAGAUAUCAGGAGGCACACCGAUGGCGAAGGCAGAUCUCUGGGCCGUAACUGACGCUGAGGAGCGAAAGCAUGGGGAGCGAACA
RNAcentral lists this ribosomal RNA (407 nucleotides) under uncultured bacterium. RNAcentral describes it as "bacterial SSU rRNA". It matches the Rfam family "Bacterial small subunit ribosomal RNA", at positions 355 to 774 of the family's 1533-position model. The record is from RNAcentral.